Molecule: ribosomal RNA, 205 nt
Filed under: uncultured bacterium
Lineage: Bacteria
Description: partial 16S ribosomal RNA
Rfam family: Bacterial small subunit ribosomal RNA
Source: RNAcentral
CGGAUUGAAGGCUGAAAUUCGCCUUCAUGAAGCCGGAAUUGCUAGUAAUGGCAGGUCAGCAUACUGCCGUGAAUACGUUCCCGGGCCUUGUACACACCGCCCGUCGCACCAUGAGAGUUGGAGAUACCCGAAGCCUGUGAGCUAACAAACGAGGCAGCAGUCGAAGGUAGAGCCAAUGAUUGGGGUGAAGUCGUAACAAGGUAGC